AUAGGAAUGUAAGAAAGUACUUGUAUAAUCGUUGAGAUAAGGUCAACAAGUUUCUACCUCACGCCGUUGUUUGUGAGACUACAAGGAAUGAAGUUUGUAUA
Molecule: non-coding RNA, 101 nt
Filed under: Erysipelotrichaceae bacterium MTC7
Lineage: Bacteria; Bacillati; Bacillota; Erysipelotrichia; Erysipelotrichales; Erysipelotrichaceae
Also listed under: 1 other name
Description: Purine riboswitch aptamer
Rfam family: Purine riboswitch aptamer
About the family: Riboswitches are metabolite binding domains within certain messenger RNAs that serve as precision sensors for their corresponding targets. Allosteric rearrangement of mRNA structure is mediated by ligand binding, and this results in modulation of gene expression.
Source: Rfam by way of RNAcentral